GACGAACGCUGGCGGCGUGCUUAACACAUGCAAGUCGAACGGAAAGGCCCUGCUUUUGUGGGGUGCUCGAGUGGCGAACGGGUGAGUAACACGUGAGUAACCUGCCCUUGACUUUGGGAUAACUUCAGGAAACUGGGGCUAAUACCGGAUAGGAGCUCCUGCUGCAUGGUGGGGGUUGGAAAGUUUCGGCGGUUGGGGAUGGACUCGCGGCUUAUCAGCUUGUUGGUGGGGUAGUGGCUUACCAAGGCUUUGACGGGUAGCCGGCCUGAGAGGGUGACCGGCCACAUUGGGACUGAGAUACGGCCCAGACUCCUACGGGAGGCAGCAGUGGGGAAUAUUGCACAAUGGGCGGAAGCCUGAUGCAGCAACGCCGCGUGCGGGAUGACGGCCUGCGGGUUGGAAACCGCUUUCGCCUGUGACGAAGCGUGAGUGACGGUAAUGGGUAAAGAAGCACCGGCUAACUACGUG
Molecule: ribosomal RNA, 468 nt
Filed under: uncultured bacterium
Lineage: Bacteria
Description: partial 16S ribosomal RNA
Rfam family: Bacterial small subunit ribosomal RNA
Source: RNAcentral